CCUACGGGUGGCAGCAGUGAGGAAUAUUGGUCAAUGGACGAGAGUCUGAACCAGCCAAGUAGCGUGAAGGAUGACUGCCCUAUAGGUUGUAAACUUCUUUUAUAAAGUAAUAAAACGCGGCACAUGUGCCUUUUUGCAUGUCCUUUCCGCAUAAGGAUCGGCUAACUCCGUGCCAGCAGCCGCGGUAAUCCCGAGGAUCCGAGCGUUAUCCGGAGUUAUUGGGUUUAAAUGGAGCGUAGAUGUGUUUUUAAGUCAGUUGUGAAAGUUUGCGGCUCAACCGUAAAAUUGCAAGUGAUACUGGCAGUCUUGAGUACAGUUGAGGUAGGCGGAAUUCGUGGUGUAGCGGUGAAAUGCUUAGAUAUCACGAAGAACCCUGAUUGCGAAGGCAGCUUACUAAACUGUGACUGACAUUGAUGCUCGAAAGUGUGGGUAUCAAACAGGAUUAGAUACCCGUGUAGUC
RNAcentral lists this ribosomal RNA (460 nucleotides) under uncultured bacterium. Its description in RNAcentral is "partial 16S ribosomal RNA". It matches the Rfam family "Bacterial small subunit ribosomal RNA", at positions 338 to 795 of the family's 1533-position model. The record is from RNAcentral.